AUUGAACGCUGGCGGCAGGCCUAACACAUGCAAGUCGAGCGGAGCGGCGGACGGGUGAGUGAUGCCAAGGAAUCUACCAGGUAGUGGGGGAUAACGUCCGAAAACGGGAGCUAAUACCGCAUACUAGCAGAUGAGCCUAGGUCGGAUUAGCUAGGUGGUGGGGUAAAGGCCUACCAAGGUGACGAUCCGUAACUGGUUUGAGAGGAUGAUUAGCCACACUGGAACUGAGACACGGUCCAAACUCUUACGGGAGGCAGCAGUGGGAAAUAUUCGACAAUGGACGAAAGCCUGAUGCAGCCAUGCCGCGGGUGUGAAGAAGGUCUUCGGAUUGUAAAGCCCUUUAAUUGGGGAGGCGGUACCAAAAGAGUAAGCCCCGGCUAACUACGUGCCAGCAGCCGCGGUAAUAC
RNAcentral lists this ribosomal RNA (407 nucleotides) under uncultured bacterium. RNAcentral's name for it is "partial 16S ribosomal RNA". It matches the Rfam family "Bacterial small subunit ribosomal RNA", at positions 30 to 526 of the family's 1533-position model. The record is from RNAcentral.